CGGCAACGGAUAUCUCGGCUCUCGCAUCGAUGAAGAACGUAGCGAAAUGCGAUACUUGGUGUGAAUUGCAGAAUCCCGUAAACCAUCGAGUCUUUGAACGCAAGUUGCGCCCGAAGCCAUCAGGCCGAGGGCACGCCUGCCUGGGCGUCACGCGCCGUUGCCCACC
RNAcentral lists this ribosomal RNA (166 nucleotides) under Malus doumeri. RNAcentral's name for it is "5.8S ribosomal RNA". The stretch from base 3 to 150 matches the Rfam family "5.8S ribosomal RNA". Rfam says of the family: 5.8S ribosomal RNA (5.8S rRNA) is a component of the large subunit of the eukaryotic ribosome. It is transcribed by RNA polymerase I as part of the 45S precursor that also contains 18S and 28S rRNA. Functionally, it is thought that 5.8S rRNA may be involved in ribosome translocation. Lineage: Eukaryota; Viridiplantae; Streptophyta; Magnoliopsida; Rosales; Rosaceae. The record is from RNAcentral.